This 161-nucleotide ribosomal RNA is filed under the name Vatica mangachapoi. RNAcentral's name for it is "5.8S ribosomal RNA". It matches the Rfam family "5.8S ribosomal RNA". Rfam says of the family: 5.8S ribosomal RNA (5.8S rRNA) is a component of the large subunit of the eukaryotic ribosome. Lineage: Eukaryota; Viridiplantae; Streptophyta; Magnoliopsida; Malvales; Dipterocarpaceae. The record is from RNAcentral.
UCAAAACUUUCAACAACGGAUCUCUUGGUUCUGGCAUCGAUGAAGAACGCAGCGAAAUGCGAUAAGUAAUGUGAAUUGCAGAAUUCAGUGAAUCAUCGAAUCUUUGAACGCACAUUGCGCCCUCUGGUAUUCCAGAGGGCAUGCCUGUUUGAGCGUCAUUU